RNAcentral lists this ribosomal RNA (383 nucleotides) under uncultured bacterium. RNAcentral's name for it is "bacterial SSU rRNA". It matches the Rfam family "Bacterial small subunit ribosomal RNA", at positions 355 to 736 of the family's 1533-position model. The record is from RNAcentral.
UAAGGAAUAUUGGUCAAUGGCGCAAGCCUGCACCAGCCAUGCCGCGUGCAGGAAGACGGCCCUAUGGGUUGUAAACUGCUUUUGUCAGGGAAUAAACCCCCGCUCGUGAGCGGGGCUGAAGGUACCUGAAGAAUAAGCAUCGGCUAACUCCGUGCCAGCAGCCGCGGUAAUACGGAGGAUGCAAGCGUUAUCCGGAUUCAUUGGGUUUAAAGGGUGCGCAGGCGGGUUGGUAAGUCAGGGGUGAAAUCCCACAGCUCGACUGUGGAACUGCCGUUGGUACUGUCAGUCUAGAGGAUAGUUGAAGUGGGCGGAAUGUGUCAUGUGGCGGUGGAAUGCUUAGAUAUGACACAGAACACCGAUCGCGAAGGCAGCUCGCUAAGCUA